Molecule: microRNA, 20 nt
Filed under: Tribolium castaneum (red flour beetle)
Lineage: Eukaryota; Metazoa; Arthropoda; Insecta; Coleoptera; Tenebrionidae
Description: tca-miR-3838-5p
Source: miRBase by way of RNAcentral
GUUUAGCCUAAGUCGUCUUA